This is a long non-coding RNA of Tetranychus urticae (two-spotted spider mite), 920 nucleotides long. RefSeq lists it as uncharacterized. The record is from RefSeq and is a predicted model, not a curated record. NCBI's taxonomy places the organism in Eukaryota, Metazoa, Arthropoda, Arachnida, Trombidiformes, Tetranychidae.
CAAAAAGGUAUGUUAACUAUUUGUGUGAAAAUUAGCUGAUUGUAGAGUUUCAACAAAAUUGUAAUUUCCUGAUCAAUCAUUUUACCAUUUCAAAGUUGAAUAUUAAUUAGCGUUAAUCAUGAUGAUUUCAGCUGACAACAAAUUGAACUUGUAAAACACUUGAUGGUGGAGGGAUGAUCAUGAAUGAUGGCUUUUAUUGAUGGAUCAACUCUGAUUUGUGAGACUUGAAACACACAAAAGAAGCGAGUUUAUAUAGCAGAGCACCUUUUGAUAACUUUGGCUCUUGAAAUGUGCUCAAUUUAAGCUGAUUCAUAUGAAAAAAAUAUUCAACCAUUACAAUUGAGCUUUUGAUUGCCAUUAUUUACUCGUGUUUUGUCAUGGUUUUAAAAGACACAAAUUGAUGUUGAGUUUGGAAACCUUCACAAUCAAGAUAACAAGAUAUGUUGAUACAGAUACUGAUGUAGUCUUGUAAACUGGUGAUGAAAAGCAAUGUGAUUUUAAAGGUUUAACCUUUUUUACAACUUAUCACAUUUUGAUUGAUAAUUUAUAUAUAUUUGGGUUUCCUUAGACAGUCAACGAACUGUUCAUCUUAGCCUGAACAUUGACCGCCAACUUCACAUGGACAUUGGGCUAUGAAUGGCUAUAAAUAUACGUCAAAAUUUAUCUCAAUUAUAUCAUGAUAAGCUUUUAAACUAAACUCUUGACUUUUCUCAACCAGUUUUUCAACCCUUUUUUCAAGAAAAAAAUGUGUCCAUCAGCUCUGUGUUAAUCAACCAAAUCAACUUUGAUCAUUUUCGGGCUUCUCUUUUUUACUCUCUCAUGUUUGCCUGUACUACUUCAAUUAUUUGUUGAACAGAUAGCUUCCAAUUGAAAUCUGUUAGUUUAAUAAGCUGAUGAAAUAAAUCAGUUUACAUCAGUUU